RNAcentral lists this ribosomal RNA (2905 nucleotides) under Salmonella enterica. RNAcentral's name for it is "bacterial LSU rRNA". It matches the Rfam family "Bacterial large subunit ribosomal RNA". The record is from RNAcentral. RNAcentral also lists the same sequence under 1 other name. Lineage: Bacteria; Pseudomonadati; Pseudomonadota; Gammaproteobacteria; Enterobacterales; Enterobacteriaceae.
UUAAGCGACUAAGCGUACACGGUGGAUGCCCUGGCAGUCAGAGGCGAUGAAGGGCGUACUAAUCUGCGAUAAGCGCCGGUAAGGUGAUAUGAACCGUUAUAACCGGCGAUACCCGAAUGGGGAAACCCAGUGUGAUUCGUCACACUAUCAUUAACUGAAUCCAUAGGUUAAUGAGGCGAACCGGGGGAACUGAAACAUCUAAGUACCCCGAGGAAAAGAAAUCAACCGAGAUUCCCCCAGUAGCGGCGAGCGAACGGGGAGGAGCCCAGAGCCUGAAUCAGCAUGUGUGUUAGUGGAAGCGUCUGGAAAGGCGCGCGAUACAGGGUGACAGCCCCGUACACAAAAGCGCAUGUGCUGUGAGCUCGAUGAGUAGGGCGGGACACGUGGUAUCCUGUCUGAAUAUGGGGGGACCAUCCUCCAAGGCUAAAUACUCCUGACUGACCGAUAGUGAACCAGUACCGUGAGGGAAAGGCGAAAAGAACCCCGGCGAGGGGAGUGAAAAAGAACCUGAAACCGUGUACGUACAAGCAGUGGGAGCACAGGUUUACCUGUGUGACUGCGUACCUUUUGUAUAAUGGGUCAGCGACUUAUAUUCUGUAGCAAGGUUAACCGAAUAGGGGAGCCGGAGGGAAACCGAGUCUUAAUUGGGCGUUAAGUUGCAGGGUAUAGACCCGAAACCCGGUGAUCUAGCCAUGGGCAGGUUGAAGGUUGGGUAACACUAACUGGAGGACCGAACCGACUAAUGUUGAAAAAUUAGCGGAUGACCUGUGGCUGGGGGUGAAAGGCCAAUCAAACCGGGAGAUAGCUGGUUCUCCCCGAAAGCUAUUUAGGUAGCGCCUCGUGAAUUCAUCUCCGGGGGUAGAGCACUGUUUCGGCUAGGGGGCCAUCCCGGCUUACCAACCCGAUGCAAACUGCGAAUACCGGAGAAUGUUAUCACGGGAGACACACGGCGGGUGCUAACGUCCGUCGUGAAGAGGGAAACAACCCAGACCGCCAGCUAAGGUCCCAAAGUCAUGGUUAAGUGGGAAACGAUGUGGGAAGGCCCAGACAGCCAGGAUGUUGGCUUAGAAGCAGCCAUCAUUUAAAGAAAGCGUAAUAGCUCACUGGUCGAGUCGGCCUGCGCGGAAGAUGUAACGGGGCUAAACCAUGCACCGAAGCUGCGGCAGCGACACUGUGUGUUGUUGGGUAGGGGAGCGUUCUGUAAGCCUGCGAAGGUGGCCUGUGAGGGUUGCUGGAGGUAUCAGAAGUGCGAAUGCUGACAUAAGUAACGAUAAAGCGGGUGAAAAGCCCGCUCGCCGGAAGACCAAGGGUUCCUGUCCAACGUUAAUCGGGGCAGGGUGAGUCGACCCCUAAGGCGAGGCCGAAAGGCGUAGUCGAUGGGAAACGGGUUAAUAUUCCCGUACUUGGUGUUACUGCGAAGGGGGGACGGAGAAGGCUAUGUUGGCCGGGCGACGGUUGUCCCGGUUUAAGCGUGUAGGUGUGUGUUCCAGGUAAAUCCGGUUCACUUUAACACUGAGGCGUGACGACGAGGCACUACGGUGCUGAAGCAACAAAUGCCCUGCUUCCAGGAAAAGCCUCUAAGCAUCAGGUAACAUCAAAUCGUACCCCAAACCGACACAGGUGGUCAGGUAGAGAAUACCAAGGCGCUUGAGAGAACUCGGGUGAAGGAACUAGGCAAAAUGGUGCCGUAACUUCGGGAGAAGGCACGCUGACACGUAGGUGAAGUGAUUUACUCAUGGAGCUGAAGUCAGUCGAAGAUACCAGCUGGCUGCAACUGUUUAUUAAAAACACAGCACUGUGCAAACACGAAAGUGGACGUAUACGGUGUGACGCCUGCCCGGUGCCGGAAGGUUAAUUGAUGGGGUCAGCGCAAGCGAAGCUCCUGAUCGAAGCCCCGGUAAACGGCGGCCGUAACUAUAACGGUCCUAAGGUAGCGAAAUUCCUUGUCGGGUAAGUUCCGACCUGCACGAAUGGCGUAAUGAUGGCCAGGCUGUCUCCACCCGAGACUCAGUGAAAUUGAACUCGCUGUGAAGAUGCAGUGUACCCGCGGCAAGACGGAAAGACCCCGUGAACCUUUACUAUAGCUUGACACUGAACAUUGAGCCUUGAUGUGUAGGAUAGGUGGGAGGCUUUGAAGUGUGGACGCCAGUCUGCAUGGAGCCGACCUUGAAAUACCACCCUUUAAUGUUUGAUGUUCUAACGUGGACCCGUUACCCGGGUUGCGGACAGUGUCUGGUGGGUAGUUUGACUGGGGCGGUCUCCUCCUAAAGAGUAACGGAGGAGCACGAAGGUUGGCUAAUCCUGGUCGGACAUCAGGAGGUUAGUGCAAUGGCAUAAGCCAGCUUGACUGCGAGCGUGACGGCGCGAGCAGGUGCGAAAGCAGGUCAUAGUGAUCCGGUGGUUCUGAAUGGAAGGGCCAUCGCUCAACGGAUAAAAGGUACUCCGGGGAUAACAGGCUGAUACCGCCCAAGAGUUCAUAUCGACGGCGGUGUUUGGCACCUCGAUGUCGGCUCAUCACAUCCUGGGGCUGAAGUAGGUCCCAAGGGUAUGGCUGUUCGCCAUUUAAAGUGGUACGCGAGCUGGGUUUAGAACGUCGUGAGACAGUUCGGUCCCUAUCUGCCGUGGGCGCUGGAGAACUGAGGGGGGCUGCUCCUAGUACGAGAGGACCGGAGUGGACGCAUCACUGGUGUUCGGGUUGUCAUGCCAAUGGCACUGCCCGGUAGCUAAAUGCGGAAGAGAUAAGUGCUGAAAGCAUCUAAGCACGAAACUUGCCCCGAGAUGAGUUCUCCCUGAGACUUAAAGUCUCCUGAAGGAACGUUGAAGACGACGACGUUGAUAGGCCGGGUGUGUAAGCGCAGCGAUGCGUUGAGCUAACCGGUACUAAUGAACCGUGAGGCUUAACCUU